AGGGGGGGCAAGCGUUGUUCGGAAUUACUGGGCGUAAAGGGCUCGUAGGCGGCCAACUAAGUCCGACGUGAAAUCCCAAAGCUUAACUUUGGAACUGCGUCGGAUACUGGAUGGCUUGAAUUCGGGAGAGGGAUGCAGAAUUCCAGGUGUAGCGGUGAAAUGCGUAGAUAUCUGGAGGAAUACCGGUGGCGAAGGCGGCAUCCUGGACCGACAUUGACGCUGAGGAGCGAAAGCUAGGGGAGCAAACGGGAUUAGAUACCCCGGUAGUCCUAGCCCUAAACGAUGAAUGCUUGGUGUGGCGGGUAUCGAUCCCUGCCGUGCCGAAGCUAACGCAUUAAGCAUUCCGCCUGGGGAGUACGGUCGCAAGGCUG
Molecule: ribosomal RNA, 371 nt
Filed under: uncultured bacterium
Lineage: Bacteria
Description: bacterial SSU rRNA
Rfam family: Bacterial small subunit ribosomal RNA
Source: RNAcentral